This 491-nucleotide ribosomal RNA is filed under the name uncultured bacterium. Its description in RNAcentral is "partial 16S ribosomal RNA". It matches the Rfam family "Bacterial small subunit ribosomal RNA", at positions 28 to 507 of the family's 1533-position model. The record is from RNAcentral.
GAUGAACGCUAGCGAUAGGCUUAACACAUGCAAGUCGAGGGGUAACGUGUUGGAAGCUUGCUUCCGAUGACGACGACCGGCGGAUGGGUGCGUAACGCGUAUGCAACUUGCCUCACAGUGGAGAAUAACCCGGAGAAAUCCGGACUAAUACUCCAUACACUCUUAAGUACGCCUGUACAUGAGAGGAAAGAUUUAUCGCUGUGAGAUAGGCAUGCGUCCUAUUAGGUAGUUGGUGAGGUAACGGCUCACCAAGCCGACGAUAGGUAGGGGUGCUGAGAGGCAGAUCCCCCACAUUGGGACUGAGACACGGCCCAAACUCCUACGGAAGGCAGCAGUGAGGAAUAUUGGUCAAUGGAGGAAACUCUGAACCAGCCAAGUCGCGUGAAGGAAGAAUGUCCUAAGGAUUGUAAACUUCUUUAGCGAGCGAGUAAGGACUUCCACGUGAUGGGAGUUUGAAAGUAGCUCGAGAAUAAGUAUCGGCUAACUCCGUG